RNAcentral lists this long non-coding RNA (1514 nucleotides) under Lotus japonicus. RNAcentral describes it as "long non-coding RNA (LJAP_LNC000562)". The record is from RNAcentral. Lineage: Eukaryota; Viridiplantae; Streptophyta; Magnoliopsida; Fabales; Fabaceae.
AACAGUAACCGGACUCAACCGACCAUCUAUUCUAAGUCCAUGGCCUCCAACCAUGCCUGGAUUAUAUCCCUGAGUGAAACCAUUAGCAAAGCUACCAACUCUACUCAUAGCAUAACUAUAUCCACCUAACUGGCCUCUACUUGGACUUGGAGAUAAUUCCUUGGGAACAGCUCUCUUAACCUCAACCAUUUUACCAUUCAGUUCAUGAAAAGUUUUGUACAGAACUUUCUCAACUCCUUCCUCAGAAUCAAAGGUUAUGAAUCCAAAACCUCUAGGCCUUUGUGUGUUAUGGUCAUACAUCACGACAACAUCUGUAAUUGUUCCAAACUGAUCAAAGUAGUUCUUAAAAUCACUCUCAGUAAUUGUGGAUGGUAGACCUCCAACAAAUAUCUUCUUUGUGCGGACAGGAGAAGGAACUGGCGACCCAUGACUGCUGCUGUUGCUUCUGCUCAGAACAUUCUGAUCAUCUCUAGGGACAGCCUUUUUUGCUUCCACCUGCAUGUCGAAUUCAUGACAAUAAAACUCAAUUUAACAUCUUAGUCUGAAUUAUAAAUAAGCAGGCCACUAUAAAAACUAAUAGAAUCUAUGAGAAAGAACGAUUGCUGGUCAGGAUUUCAAGUAAAUGAAUGUGUUAGGGAGACUGCAAAUUAUAUACUUAGAGAUUAGAUCACAAUUUGGACUAAUAGGAAAUAGAGACUAAAUUGUAUCGUCCUUUCCAUGUUUCUUCUUCAUAUUAAUCCCUAGUUCCCUACCCCCCAAAAAAAGAAGCUUACAGGUUAUGGUUGCAUUGUUGCCAAUGCUUGAACCAGCAUACCCCAUGGCAUUAUUGUACCUGCUCGGACUUCCAUUGUAUGAAGAGUUCAGCGCCCGUCCUAUGACGAAGUUAGAUGUAAAGUUUGCACUUUCAUUUUGGCUCAAUGGUAGCUCAAAGUUGAGUUCUGACCCAUAAUUAGGACUCAAAAGAGGAUAUCCGCUACGACCAACAGUAACCGGACUCAACCGACCAUCUAUUCUAAGUCCAUGGCCUCCAACCAUGCCUGGAUUAUAUCCCUGAGUGAAACCAUUAGCAAAGCUACCAACUCUACUCAUAGCAUAACUAUAUCCACCUAACUGGCCUCUACUUGGACUUGGAGAUAAUUCCUUGGGAACAGCUCUCUUAACCUCAACCAUUUUACCAUUCAGUUCAUGAAAAGUUUUGUACAGAACUUUCUCAACUCCUUCCUCAGAAUCAAAGGUUAUGAAUCCAAAACCUCUAGGCCUUUGUGUGUUAUGGUCAUACAUCACGACAACAUCUGUAAUUGUUCCAAACUGAUCAAAGUAGUUCUUAAAAUCACUCUCAGUAAUUGUGGAUGGUAGACCUCCAACAAAUAUCUUCUUUGUGCGGACAGGAGAAGGAACUGGCGACCCAUGACUGCUGCUGUUGCUUCUGCUCAGAACAUUCUGAUCAUCUCUAGGGACAGCCUUUUUUGCUUCCACCUGCAUGUCGAAUUCAUGACAAUAAAACUCAAUUUAAC